This is a long non-coding RNA of Cydia strobilella, 412 nucleotides long. RefSeq lists it as uncharacterized. Lineage: Eukaryota; Metazoa; Arthropoda; Insecta; Lepidoptera; Tortricidae. The transcript is spliced from 3 exons. The record is from RefSeq and is a predicted model, not a curated record.
UUUACCCGACUGCCAAAGGAGGAGGGUAAUGUUUUUCGAGUGUAUAUAUGUAUGUAUGUCUGUUUCUUUGUGGCCUCCUGUAGCCUAAACGGCUUGAUGGAUUUUGAUGUAUGAGGUAUCGUUAGAUUCGUCUUGAUCACGGGAGUGUCAUAGAAUACAUUUUAUCCCGAAAUUAUAAAUAAAAAAUUUAUUAUUAUAAAAAAACAAAAAACCCGACUGCACACUAAAAAGAGGAAAACAAGCACCACAAGAAAUAUUUGUUGAUGGUAAGUAUAGCAGGCGGGGACCAACUUGACCGCCACCAACGAAAAUACCUACCUAAGUAACAUUCUGCUAAAUAGUGAACUUAACAACCAACAACCAAAAUGACUAUAAGUAACCCUGUGUUGGUCCCCGCCUGCGAUACUUACCA